AACGAACGCUGGCGGCGCGCCUAAUACAUGCAAGUCGAACGAGAAGCUGUAGCAAUACAGUUGUACAGUGGCGAACGGGUGAGGAAUACAUGGGUGACCUACCCUCGAGUGGGGAAUAACCAGCCGAAAGGUUGGCUAAUACCGCGUACGCUUCCCAGUCUACGGGUUGGGAAGGAAAGCGAUGCCGUGGGUAUCGCGCUCAAGGUUGGGCUCAUGUCCUAUCAGCUGUUGGUGGGGUAACGGCUCACCAAGGCAACGACGGGUAGCUGGUCUGAGAGGACGAUCAGCCACACUGGCACUGCGACACGGGCCAGACUCCUACGGGAGGCAGCAGUAAGGAAUAUUGCGCAAUGGGCGAAAGCCUGACGCAGCGACGCCGC
RNAcentral lists this ribosomal RNA (380 nucleotides) under uncultured bacterium. RNAcentral's name for it is "bacterial SSU rRNA". It matches the Rfam family "Bacterial small subunit ribosomal RNA", at positions 29 to 400 of the family's 1533-position model. The record is from RNAcentral.